This 86-nucleotide transfer RNA is filed under the name Nitrospiraceae bacterium. Its description in RNAcentral is "tRNA-Tyr". It matches the Rfam family "tRNA". From Rfam's summary of the family: Transfer RNA (tRNA) molecules are approximately 80 nucleotides in length. Their secondary structure includes four short double-helical elements and three loops (D, anti-codon, and T loops). The record is from RNAcentral. Lineage: Bacteria; Pseudomonadati; Nitrospirota; Nitrospiria; Nitrospirales; Nitrospiraceae.
GGGGAGGUUCCCGAGUGGCCAAAGGGAACAGACUGUAAAUCUGUCGGCAUUAGCCUUCGGAGGUUCGAAUCCUCCCCUCCCCACCA